CCUACGGGUGGCAGCAGUGAGGAAUAUUGGUCAAUGGUCGUGAGACUGAACCAGCCAAGUCGCGUGAAGGAGGAAGGUUCUAAGGUUUGUAAACUUCUUUUAUCGGGGAAUAAAGACAGGCACGUGUGCAUGUUUGCAUGUACCUUAUGAAUAAGCAUCGGCUAACUCCGUGCCAGCAGCCGCGGUAAUACGGAGGAUGCGAGCGUUAUCCGGAUUUAUUGGGUUUAAAGGGUGCGUAGGUGGUUUGUUAAGUCAGCGGUGAAAGUUUGUGGCUCAACCCUAAGAUUGCCGUUGAAACUGGCAGUCUCGAGUUGGAGUGAGGUAUGCGGAAUGCGUGGUGUAGCGGUGAAAUGCAUAGAUAUCGCGCAGAACUCCGAUUGCGAAGGCAGCAUACUAACUCGACACUGACGCUGAGGCACGAAAGCGUGGGUAUCAAACAGGAUUAGAUACCCGGGUAGUC
This 460-nucleotide ribosomal RNA is filed under the name uncultured bacterium. RNAcentral describes it as "partial 16S ribosomal RNA". It matches the Rfam family "Bacterial small subunit ribosomal RNA", at positions 338 to 795 of the family's 1533-position model. The record is from RNAcentral.